AACGAACGCUGGCGGCAUGCCUAACACAUGCAAGUCGAACGAGACCUUCGGGUCUAGUGGCGCACGGGUGCGUAACGCGUGGGAACCUGCCCUUAGGUUCGGAAUAACUCCCCGAAAGGGGUGCUAAUACCGGAUAAUGUCUUCGGAUCAAAGAUUUAUCGCCUUUGGAUGGGCCCGCGUUGGAUUAGCUAGUUGGUAGGGUAAAAGCCUACCAAGGCGACGAUCCAUAGCUGGUCUGAGAGGAUGAUCAGCCACACUGGGACUGAGACACGGCCCAGACUCCUACGGGAGGCAGCAGUGGGGAAUAUUGGACAAUGGGCGAAAGCCUGAUCCAGCAAUGCCGCGUGAGUGAUGAAGGCCUUAGGGUUGUAAAGCUCUUUUACCCGGGAUGAUAAUGACAGUACCAGGAGAAUAAGCUCCGGCUAACUCCGUG
Molecule: ribosomal RNA, 433 nt
Filed under: uncultured bacterium
Lineage: Bacteria
Description: partial 16S ribosomal RNA
Rfam family: Bacterial small subunit ribosomal RNA
Source: RNAcentral